AUGAUGUGCUCAGAGCAGGAAGCCUGAAGAAAUGACUCCUCUGUUCACAACACACUGAACAGGAAUCUGGAUUCAUUGUGACAAGGGGCACAAAACAUGCGCCCUUCCUGUGAACAAAUACCCUACCUAU
Molecule: small nucleolar RNA, 130 nt
Organism: Camelus dromedarius (Arabian camel)
Lineage: Eukaryota; Metazoa; Chordata; Mammalia; Artiodactyla; Camelidae
Source: Ensembl